UAGUCCACGCCGUAAACGAUGUCUACUAGAAGCUCGGGUCUUCGGACUUGUUUUUCAAAGCUAACGCAUUAAGUAGACCGCCUGGGGAGUACGGCCGCAAGGUUAAAACUCAAAUGAAUUGACGGGGGCCCGCACAAGCGGUGGAGCAUGUGGUUUAAUUCGAUGCAACGCGAAGAACCUUACCUACACUUGACAUACAGAGGACUUACCAGAGAUGGUUUGGUGCCUUCGGGAACUCUGAUACAGGUGCUGCAUGGCUGUCGUCAGCUCGUGUUGUGAGAUGUUGGGUUAAGUCCGGCAACGAGCGCAACCCACGUCCUUAGUUGCCAGCAGUUCGGCUGGGCACUCUAGGGAGACUGCCGGUGAUAAGCCGGAGGAAGGUGUGGGAUGACGUCAAAUCAUCACGCCCCUUAUGUCCAGAGCUACACACGUGUUACAA
This 439-nucleotide ribosomal RNA is filed under the name uncultured bacterium. Its description in RNAcentral is "bacterial SSU rRNA". It matches the Rfam family "Bacterial small subunit ribosomal RNA", at positions 791 to 1230 of the family's 1533-position model. The record is from RNAcentral.